GGUUGUGCUGAUAUUGUCCACUUCUCCAUGGGAGAACUCUGUGCUUUCAACGUCCACUUCAAUCUCUUCUAGAAAGGGAAAUGAGAGAAACGCACACAGACCAAAAAUCACAACAAGCAUCUCAACUUUACCAUCACUUUCAAUACAAGAGAAAUCAGAUCAAGUUGACAGCAACAACAAUCCUUCCAGACUUAGAACUCAUGCAAAACACUAAACUCUCCAUAUGUAUGCGUAUGUAUGUGCCUGUGUGUGAGCAGAAUCAGCAGCCUAAACGUCCAAGGCCAUGAGAAGGGGAAGCUGAGAGGUAAGAAAUGGAUAAAUCUCAUUCUCUCACUUCAGAAUCCUGGCUAUUCCAUGCUGGUUCAGCAACACCCACCUCGCUCCGAGUCCGAGUGAUCCGAGGAAAUGGUAGAUCCAAUGCUGUCCAUUCGUAUUCGCUCUAUCUCCUGAGGACCCUGUAGUUGUUCCAGUCUUCUCUUUAGGAAUCUUUGUUCUCGUUCCAGGUUCUCAAGCUGGUGUUGGCUUCUCCUUUCAGCCUCUUCAAGUUUCUGACAUGAUCAAAUAAAACACAAUAAUUAGUUUUC
Molecule: long non-coding RNA, 584 nt
Organism: Parus major (Great Tit)
Lineage: Eukaryota; Metazoa; Chordata; Aves; Passeriformes; Paridae
Exons: 2
Source: RefSeq, a predicted model, not a curated record